CGGCGCGUGGGAAAGUCUGGUCAAUCCGCCUCGUUCGGGACGAGGAGACCGCCGGUUCGAAUCCGGCCGCGCCGA
RNAcentral lists this transfer RNA (75 nucleotides) under Variovorax sp. WDL1. RNAcentral describes it as "tRNA-Pro". It matches the Rfam family "tRNA". Rfam says of the family: Transfer RNA (tRNA) molecules are approximately 80 nucleotides in length. Their secondary structure includes four short double-helical elements and three loops (D, anti-codon, and T loops). RNAcentral also lists the same sequence under 1 other name. The record is from RNAcentral. Lineage: Bacteria; Pseudomonadati; Pseudomonadota; Betaproteobacteria; Burkholderiales; Comamonadaceae.